This 340-nucleotide unclassified non-coding RNA is filed under the name soil metagenome. Its description in RNAcentral is "partial contains 5.8S ribosomal RNA, internal transcribed spacer 2, and large subunit ribosomal RNA". The stretch from base 1 to 120 matches the Rfam family "5.8S ribosomal RNA", at positions 35 to 154 of the family's 154-position model. The record is from RNAcentral.
GAUGAAGAACGUAGCGAAAUGCGAUAAGUAGUGUGAAUUGCAGAAUUCAGUGAAUCAUCGAAUCUUUGAACGCACAUUGCGCCCCUUGGUAUUCCAUGGGGCAUGCCUGUUCGAGCGUCAUUUGUACCCUCAAGCUAUGCUUGGUGUUGGGUGUUUGUCCUCUCCUUUGCGAUUGGACUCGCCUUAAAGACAUUGGCAGCCAGUGUAUUGGUCUUGAGGCGCAGCACAUUUUGCGAUUCUUGCUGAUAAUCACUAGCGUCCAGUAAGCCUAUUUUAACACUUUUGACCUCGGAUCAGGUAGGGAUACCCGCUGAACUUAAGCAUAUCAAUAAGCGGAGGA